AUACGUAGGGGGCGAGCGUUGUCCGGAAUGAUUGGGCGUAAAGGGCGCGUAGGCGGCCCGGUAAGUCUGGAGUGAAAGUCCUGUUUUUAAGAUGGGAAUUGCUUUGGAUACUGUCGGGCUUGAGUGCAGGAGAGGUAAGUGGAAUUCCCAGUGUAGCGGUGAAAUGCGUAGAGAUUGGGAGGAACACCAGUGGCGAAGGCGACUUACUGGACUGUAACUGACGCUGAGGCGCGAAAGUGUGGGGAGCAAACAGGAUUAGAUCCCCUGGUAGUCAACGCCGUAAACGAUGAAUACUAGGUGUAGGGGGUAUCGACUCCCUCUGUGCCGCAGUUAACACAAUAAGUAUUCCGCCUGGGGAGUACGGCCGCAAGGUUGAAACUCAAAUGAAUUGACGGGG
RNAcentral lists this ribosomal RNA (397 nucleotides) under uncultured bacterium. RNAcentral's name for it is "partial 16S ribosomal RNA". It matches the Rfam family "Bacterial small subunit ribosomal RNA", at positions 523 to 918 of the family's 1533-position model. The record is from RNAcentral.